CUACCGAGAGCAGCUUAGGGUCGUGCUACUUGCCGACUUUAACAAGAGACUUCAAAUUGACCAGCAGGGGAUAGUAGGGCCAUUUUUGGUAUUUCAAUCAACUUGAAUAUUCACCUGAUCCCUUAUCUUUUCCCAUCAAUCCUAACGCCACCGCUAAAGAGCUCCACCUCCAAACGUUUGCUCUGUCCUCUUCUCUAGCUCUCAAAUUUGCACCAUGGUGGUCAACGGAGUUUAUACCUCCGUCUCCAAAAAAGUUUCUCUCCAGGUCGUCGGCCGCUUUCUCUCUCCAAACCUCUGUUUUCUCUUCAUCUCCUCUUGUUCUUAACCUGGCACUUUGAUGGAGUUUAUAGCUACCUCCUAUUAGAGUUCAAUCUCACAGUAUAAUAUGCUGGUUACUAUCUCAUUCGCCGCAUCUACAAUUUCAGGAUGUGAGCACACAAGAUUCAACAGCGCUUACGAUGCUCUAGAUGUAAAUCCGUAUGUAUAAUUGUUGGGGAACACAAUAGAGAUACUUUAUGCCCUACUACAGCUCAACCGAAACAUACUUAACUUGAUCAUAAUAAAUUUCUCUGCUUUACUUAUGAGUACAACAUAUUGUACUGACCUUGUGUUCGUGUUCGUGUUGGGCCCGGGCAAGUAUAUUUAAUAGGAAGAAAGUCUAGCCUAUAAUUAAGCCAAAUGGCAGCACAAGAGAAAGACAUGUGGCAGUUUAAGGCAAGAAUUAGUUAUUUAGUUAACUAACUUUUAAUUUUUUUUACAGCAUUUACUUAAAAACAUAUUUUAGUAAGUUGUGAUAAUUUAAUACUUACUUUUCUAUA
Molecule: long non-coding RNA, 818 nt
Organism: Solanum tuberosum (potato)
Lineage: Eukaryota; Viridiplantae; Streptophyta; Magnoliopsida; Solanales; Solanaceae
Exons: 3
Source: RefSeq, a predicted model, not a curated record